RNAcentral lists this unclassified non-coding RNA (197 nucleotides) under plant metagenome. RNAcentral describes it as "partial contains small subunit ribosomal RNA, internal transcribed spacer 1, and 5.8S ribosomal RNA". The stretch from base 1 to 55 matches the Rfam family "Eukaryotic small subunit ribosomal RNA", at positions 1778 to 1831 of the family's 1831-position model. The record is from RNAcentral.
GGAAGUAAAAAGUCGUAACAAGGUUUCCGUAGGUGAACCUGCGGAAGGAUCAUUACAAAAUGUUAUGGGAUGUCCUAACGGGCACCCAAGCAAACACAUCCAUAUUAAACCUUUGAAACAAUUACUAGUCUGAUAAGGCCAUGUGCUGUAAAAAUUUAAAUAUAUUAAAACUUUCAACAACGGAUCUCUUGGCUCUC